AGAGUUUGAUCAUGGCUCAGGAUGAACGCUGGCGGCGUGCCUAACACAUGCAAGUCGAGCGUGAACCCUGAGAAUGAAACUUCGGUCGAUUUUGCAGGAGGAAAGCGGCGGACGGGUGAGUAACGCGUAGGUAACCUGCCCCAUACUGAGGGAUAGCCUCGGGAAACCGGGAUUAAUACCUCAUAACACCGUUUGUUCGCAUGGACGAACGGUCAAAGAUUUACCGGUAUGGGAUGGGCCUGCGUCUGAUUAGCUGGUUGGUGGGGUAACGGCCUACCAAGGCGACGAUCAGUAGCCGACCUGAGAGGGUGAUCGGCCACAUUGGAACUGAGACACGGUCCAAACUCCUACGGGAGGCAGCAGUGGGGAAUAUUGCACAAUGGGCGAAAGCCUGAUGCAGCAACGCCGCGUGAGCGAAGAAGGCCUUUGGGUUGUAAAGCUCUGUCGGGUAGGAAGAUAAUGACGGUACUACCCGAGGAAGCCCCGGCUAACUACGUGUCAGCAGCCGCGGUAAUACGUAGGGGGCGAGCGUUAUCCGGAAUUACUGGGUGUAAAGGGUGCGUAGGUGGCUGCUUAAGCGUGAGGUGAAAGGCAAUGGCUUAACCAUUGUGAGCCUCGCGAACUGGGUGGCUUGAGUGCAGGAGAGGAAAGCGGAAUUCCUAGUGUAGCGGUGAAAUGCGUAGAUAUUAGGAGGAACACCAGUGGCGAAGGCGGCUUUCUGGACUGCAACUGACACUGAGGCACGAAAGCGUGGGGAGCAAACAGGAUUAGAUACCCUGGUAGUCCACGCCGUAAACGAUGAGCACUAGUGUCGGGGUCGCAAGACUUCGGUGCCGCAGUUAACGCAUUAAGUGCUCCGCCUGGGGAGUACGCACGCAAGUGUGAAACUUAAAUGAAUUGACGG
RNAcentral lists this ribosomal RNA (904 nucleotides) under uncultured bacterium. RNAcentral's name for it is "bacterial SSU rRNA". It matches the Rfam family "Bacterial small subunit ribosomal RNA", at positions 8 to 916 of the family's 1533-position model. The record is from RNAcentral.